UGCUAGCGGGAUGCUUUACACAUGCAAGUCGAACGGCAGCGCGAGAGAGCUUGCUCUCUUGGCGGCGAGUGGCGGACGGGUGAGUAAUAUAUCGGAACGUGCCCAGUAGCGGGGGAUAACUACUCGAAAGAGUGGCUAAUACCGCAUACGCCCUACGGGGGAAAGGGGGGGAUCGCAAGACCUCUCACUAUUGGAGCGGCCGAUAUCGGAUUAGCUAGUUGGUGGGGUAAAGGCUCACCAAGGCAACGAUCCGUAGCUGGUUUGAGAGGACGACCAGCCACACUGGGACUGAGACACGGCCCAGACUCCUACGGGAGGCAGCAGUGGGGAAUUUUGGACAAUGGGGGAAACCCUGAUCCAGCCAUCCCGCGUGUAUGAUGAAGGCCUUCGGGUUGUAAAGUACUUUUGGCAGAGAAGAAAAGGUAUCCCCUAAUACGGGAUACUGCUGACGGUAUCUGCAGAAUAAGCACCGGCUAACUACGUGCCAGCAGCCGCGGUAAUACGUAGGGUGCAAGCGUUAAUCGGAAUUACUGGGCGUAAAGCGUGUGUAGGCGGUUCGGAAAGAAAGAUGUGAAAUCCCAGGGCUCAACCUUGGAACUGCAUUUUUAACUGCCGAGCUAGAGUAUGUCAGAGGGGGGUAGAAUUCCACGUGUAGCAGUGAAAUGCGUAGAUAUGUGGAGGAAUACCGAUGGCGAAGGCAGCCCCCUGGGAUAAUACUGACGCUCAGACACGAAAGCGUGGGGAGCAAACAGGAUUAGAUACCCUGGUAGUCCACGCCCUAAACGAUGUCAACUAGCUGUUGGGGCCGUUAGGCCUUAGUAGCGCAGCUAACGCGUGAAGUUGACCGCCUGGGGAGUACGGUCGCAAGAUUAAAACUCAAAGGAAUUGACGGGGACCCGCACAAGCGGUGGAUGAUGUGGAUUAAUUCGAUGCAACGCGAAAAACCUUACCUACCCUUGACAUGUCUGGAAAGCCGAAGAGAUUUGGGCCGUGCUCGCAAGAGAACCGGGAACACAGGUGCUGCAUGGGCUGUCGUCAGCUCGUGUCGUGAGAUGUUUGGGUUAAGUCCCGCAACGAGCGCAACCCUUUGUCAUUAGUUGCUACGCAAGAGCACUCUAAUGAGACUGCCCGGUGACAAACCCGAGA
This 1146-nucleotide ribosomal RNA is filed under the name Alcaligenes sp. SCAU23. Its description in RNAcentral is "bacterial SSU rRNA". It matches the Rfam family "Bacterial small subunit ribosomal RNA", at positions 34 to 1167 of the family's 1533-position model. Lineage: Bacteria; Pseudomonadati; Pseudomonadota; Betaproteobacteria; Burkholderiales; Alcaligenaceae. The record is from RNAcentral.